RNAcentral lists this ribosomal RNA (492 nucleotides) under uncultured bacterium. Its description in RNAcentral is "partial 16S ribosomal RNA". It matches the Rfam family "Bacterial small subunit ribosomal RNA", at positions 29 to 507 of the family's 1533-position model. The record is from RNAcentral.
AGUGAACGCUGGCGGUAGGCCUAACACAUGCAAGUCGAACGGCAGCACAGUAAGAGCUUGCUCUUACGGGUGGCGAGUGGCGGACGGGUGAGGAAUACAUCGGAAUCUACUUUUUCGUGGGGGAUAACGUAGGGAAACUUACGCUAAUACCGCAUACGACCUACGGGUGAAAGCAGGGGAUCUUCGGACCUUGCGCGAUUGAAUGAGCCGAUGUCGGAUUAGCUAGUUGGCGGAGUAAAGGCCCACCAAGGCGACGAUCCGUAGCUGGUCUGAGAGGAUGAUCGGCCACACUGGAACUGAGACACGGUCCAGACUCCUACGGGAGGCAGCAGUGGGGAAUAUUGGACAAUGGGCGCAAGCCUGAUCCAGCCAUACCGCGUGGGUGAAGAAGGCCUUCGGGUUGUAAAGCCCUUUUGUUGGGAAAGAAAAGCAGCAGGUUAAUACCCCGCUGUUCUGACGGUACCCAAAGAAUAAGCACCGGCUAACUUCGUG